UUCUUCAUUGUACUCCAGGAGGUAGGUACAGGGAACACCUCUCAUGAUAGAUGGUCUCUUUGUGGAUCAUCACCAUGAGGAUAAACAGCUUCAUCGGACAGAUUUACAGACCUUAGUACUCUACCUUCCUGCAUCUGUCUGAGGAACUGACGAUAAUGGCCACAUCAUCAUGAUUCCAACAUCAUUAUGAUGACACAGUGCACCUUUCCUGGGGCCUUGGCAAUGAGACCUGACAUUCUGGGAUUCACACAACAGCAGAUCUGAGACACAAGUCUUGAGGGCCAAUGUGUCUGUUGGCGCUCACUAUAGAACUUCAUCAGAAGCUAAAGACCCUCCCUGGUUAUAAGGGCCUUCGUUACCGGGCUUGGCUAUCUGAAGUGUCCCGUGUUUAGUCUGCUCAGUGAGUGGAUGGGAAGGAUGUUUUGUUUGGCAUGCUUAUUUAGAAAUUAGCUUCUCAAUUGGAAUCACUUGCGAUUUGAGUGUCAACUCCUAUAAGGUGAUGGAGAUGACAUCAUACAUACCAUCCUCCCUUUGGAAAUAGAAACAGAUUGACCCAGACCACACUUAGCAGACUGUCUCCCUUUCUUUAAAACCAUGGUUCCUUUGUUUACCACUAUUUUCAUUUCCUACUUCAGGGUUUUUCUUCACUCUCAGCUAUUGUUAAGGAAAUUUUUCAGUCAAGCCCCAAGCAGUAGCAAGUCCCACCUGGACUCUGACUCACGAGAGAACUCUCUGAAUUAAGAAGAGUGAAAUGGAUAAACUUGAUGGGAAGAGGCAACUUUCACUCAGAAAAUGGCUUUCCAACAGGGAAGAAAGAAAGGAUCAUUCUAAACAACAAGUUAAAAGGAGAGCAAUUUAGUGGAGAGUAAGGGGGAAGAGGACAUACUACUGAGGAGAGUCAGCAUGGAAAGCAGCCUAGGUCAGCGUAUCCAGGAAGCUAGCUGCCAUCAUGGAGACUCCAACACCAAGUCUCCAAAGUGAUGGAAAUCAGAAGCCGACCUGAGGGUCAGAGUUGAGGCUUCAUGAAAGAAGUGAAAGACAGACAAUGUAAACUGGAGAAGUCUCAAUGGGUUUGCUCUAGAGAGUUUCCUGUGGAGACCAUAGUGGGAAGUUACCUGCUUCCUAGGUGAAGAUGGACAGUCAGAUGGACAGACAGACAGACAUGCAGGAUAAGCCCUAGGACCAAAUGAAAGAAGGAAGAUGGAAGGUUCCAUGGACUGUUUUCAGAAGCAACAUGCAGGCACUUGGUGGCACUUACUACCAUCUCUGGAACGUGGUGUGGCUGAUGGGCUUGUGAUGGUGUAACAUGUAGUUUUAAAAAACAAACCAUGGUAAACCGGCUAUAUACUGGCAUGGGAGGUCUCACCCACCUCGAUGGUGCCUGAGGCCAGCCUGCUGUUGAGCUGCUCACACUUCCCAGGUCAUCCACCCACUGUGGCUAGCCUGUGAAAGACAGUUACCACCCACUCAGAUUCCCUUAGCCCCAUAAAAUGAUAACACUAGAGACUUGCAAUGUGUCAACCAUAUUUAUAAACAGUAAAUCUCCAGCCCCAAAAUGCCAGU
Molecule: small RNA, 1563 nt
Filed under: Rattus norvegicus (Norway rat)
Lineage: Eukaryota; Metazoa; Chordata; Mammalia; Rodentia; Muridae
Description: uncharacterized LOC102553527
Source: RNAcentral